RNAcentral lists this ribosomal RNA (421 nucleotides) under uncultured bacterium. RNAcentral describes it as "bacterial SSU rRNA". It matches the Rfam family "Bacterial small subunit ribosomal RNA", at positions 28 to 442 of the family's 1533-position model. The record is from RNAcentral.
GAUGAACGCUAGCGACAGGCCUAACACAUGCAAGUCGAGGGGCAGCACAUGAGUAGCAAUACGAUGGUGGCGACCGGCGCACGGGUGAGUAACACGUAUGCAACCUACCUGUAAGAGGGGAAUAACCCGGAGAAAUCCGGACUAAUACCGCAUAAUACUGAUUUUCUGCAUGGAAUAUUAGUUAAACAUUUAUGGCUUACAGAUGGGCAUGCGUAUGAUUAGUUAGUUGGUGAGGUAACGGCUCACCAAGACAUCGAUCAUUAGGGGUUCUGAGAGGAAGGUCCCCCACACUGGUACUGAGACACGGACCAGACUCCUACGGGAGGCAGCAGUGAGGAAUAUUGGUCAAUGGGCGAGAGCCUGAACCAGCCAAGUCGCGUGAAGGAAGACGGUUCUAUGGAUUGUAAACUUCUUUUGUAAG